This 497-nucleotide ribosomal RNA is filed under the name uncultured bacterium. Its description in RNAcentral is "partial 16S ribosomal RNA". It matches the Rfam family "Bacterial small subunit ribosomal RNA", at positions 28 to 507 of the family's 1533-position model. The record is from RNAcentral.
GAUGAACGCUGGCGGCGUGCCUAAUACAUGCAAGUCGAGCGAACGGACGAGAAGAUUGCUUCUCUGAUGUUAGCGGCGGACGGGUGAGUAACACGUGGAUAACCUACCUAUAAGACUGGGAUAACUUCGGGAAACCGUAGCUAAUACCGGAUGAUAUUUUGAACCGCAUGGUUCAAAAGUGAAAGACGGUCUUGCUGUCACUUAUAGAUGGAUCCGCGCUGCAUUAGCUAGUUGGUAAGGUAACGGCUUACCAAGGCAACGAUGCAUAGCCGACCUGAGAGGGUGAUCGGCCACACUGGAACUGAGACACGGUCCAGACUCCUACGGGAGGCAGCAGUAGGGAAUCUUCCGCAAUGGGCGAAAGCCUGACGGAGCAACGCCGCGUGAGUGAUGAAGGUCUUCGGAUCGUAAAACUCUGUUAUUAGGGAAGAACAUAUGUGUAAGUAACUGUGCACAUCUUGACGGUACCUAAUCAGAAAGCCACGGCUAACUACGUG